RNAcentral lists this ribosomal RNA (496 nucleotides) under uncultured bacterium. RNAcentral's name for it is "bacterial SSU rRNA". It matches the Rfam family "Bacterial small subunit ribosomal RNA", at positions 28 to 521 of the family's 1533-position model. The record is from RNAcentral.
GAUGAACGCUAGCGGCAGGCCUAAUACAUGCAAGUCGAACGGAUAUAUGUUUUUCGGAAUAUAUAUUAGUGGCGCACGGGUGAGUAACACGUACAUAACUUGCCCUCAAGCGGGGGAUAGCCUUGGGAAACUGAGAGUAAUACCCCAUAGAAUUAUUGGACGGCAUCGUUUGAUAAUUAAAACUACGGUGCCUGGGGAUAGAUGUGCGUCUGAUUAGCUAGUUGGUGAGGUAACUGCUCACCAAGGCGACGAUCAGUAGGGGGCGUGAGAGCGUGGCCCCCCACACGGGUACUGAGACACGGACCCGACUCCUACGGGAGGCAGCAGUAAGGAAUAUUGGUCAAUGGAGGGAACUCUGAACCAGCCAUGCCGCGUGAAGGAUGACGGCCCUCUGGGUUGUAAACUUCUUUUGGAUGGGGCGAAAAAACGGGAUUUAUCCUGGACUGACGGUACCAUCAGAAUAAGCACCGGCUAACUCCGUGCCAGCAGCCGCGGU